Molecule: ribosomal RNA, 292 nt
Filed under: uncultured bacterium
Lineage: Bacteria
Description: partial 16S ribosomal RNA
Rfam family: Archaeal small subunit ribosomal RNA
Source: RNAcentral
GUGCCAGCGCCGCGGUAGUACCGGCCGCCCGAGUGCUGACCGCUCUUAUUGGGCCUAAAGCGUCCGUAGCUGGCUACGCAAGUCCGUCGGGAAAUCCACUCGCCCAACGGGUGGGCGUCCGACGGAAACUGCAUAGCUUGGGACCGGAAGGCUCGAAGGGUACGUGCGGGGUAGGAGUGAAAUCCCAUAAUCCCGCACGGACCACCGAUGGCGAAAGCACUUCGAGAAAACGGAUCCGACAGUGAGGGACGAAAGCCAGGGUCUCCAACCGGAUUAGAAACCCUAGUAGUCC